AUACCGGAUGGUAUAGUUUUCCCGCAUGGGAUGAUUAUUAAAGAAUUUCGGUUGUCGAUGGGGAUGCGUUCCAUUAGGCAGUUGGCGGGGUAACGGCCCACCAAACCUACGAUGGAUAGGGGUUCUGAGAGGAAGGUCCCCCACAUUGGAACUGAGACACGGUCCAAACUCCUACGGGAGGCAGCAGUGAGGAAUAUUGGUCAAUGGACGAGAGUCUGAACCAGCCAAGUAGCGUGAAGGAUGACUGCCCUAUGGGUUGUAAACUUCUUUUAUACGGGAAUAAAGUGAGCCACGUGUGGCUUUUUGUAUGUACCGUAUGAAUAAGGAUCGGCUAACUCCGUGCCAGCAGCCGCGGUAAUACGGAGGAUCCGAGCGUUAUCCGGAUUUAUUGGGUUUAAAGGGAGCGUAGGCGGGUUGUUAAGUCAGUUGUGAAAGUUUGCGGCUCAACCGUAAAAUUGCAGUUGAUACUGGCGACCUUGAGUGCAACAGAGGUAGGCGGAAUUCGUGGUGUAGCGGUGAAAAUGCUUAAAUAUCACGAAGAACUCCGAUUGCGAAGGCAGCUUACUGGAUUGUAACUGACGCUGAUGCUCGAAAGUGUGGG
RNAcentral lists this ribosomal RNA (601 nucleotides) under uncultured bacterium. RNAcentral describes it as "bacterial SSU rRNA". It matches the Rfam family "Bacterial small subunit ribosomal RNA", at positions 166 to 765 of the family's 1533-position model. The record is from RNAcentral.